Molecule: ribosomal RNA, 484 nt
Filed under: uncultured bacterium
Lineage: Bacteria
Description: partial 16S ribosomal RNA
Rfam family: Bacterial small subunit ribosomal RNA
Source: RNAcentral
AUUGAACGCUGGCGGCAUGCUUUACACAUGCAAGUCGAACGGCAGCACGGGCUUCGGCCUGGUGGCGAGUGGCGAACGGGUGAGUAAUAUAUCGGAACGUACCCAGAAGUGGGGGAUAACGUAGCGAAAGUUACGCUAAUACCGCAUACGAUCUAUGGAUGAAAGCAGGGGACCGCAAGGCCUUGUGCUCCUGGAGCGGCCGAUAUCUGAUUAGCUAGUUGGUGAGGUAAAGGCUCACCAAGGCGACGAUCAGUAGCUGAUCUGAGAGGACGACCAGCCAAAAUGGAAGUGAGAGACGGUCAAGAGGCCUAAGGGAGGCAGCAGUAGGGAAGCUUGAGGAAUGGGCGAAGGAGUGACAGAGCAACGUCGCGGGAGGGAUGAAGGUAUUAGGAUAGUAAAACGUUGUUAUUAGGGAAGAAAAUAUGUGUAAGUAAAUGUGCACAUAUUGACGGUACCUAAUAAGAAAGCCACGGCUAACUACGUG